CACAUGGGUACCUACCCCGAGGUGAGGGAUACCGGCGAGAAAUCGCCGACAAUACCGCAUAGGCUCUCUGGGAACGGAGAGCAAAGUCUGGCGCGAGCCAGGCGCCUGGGGAUGGGCCUGUGGCCGAUUAGCUAGCUGGUGGGGUAACGGGCUCACCAGGGCGACGAUCGGUAGCUGGUCUGAGAGGACGAUCAGCCACACUGGGAUUGAGAACGGCCCAG
This 221-nucleotide ribosomal RNA is filed under the name uncultured bacterium. RNAcentral's name for it is "partial 16S ribosomal RNA". It matches the Rfam family "Bacterial small subunit ribosomal RNA", at positions 114 to 334 of the family's 1533-position model. The record is from RNAcentral.